Molecule: non-coding RNA, 210 nt
Organism: Meleagris gallopavo (turkey)
Lineage: Eukaryota; Metazoa; Chordata; Aves; Galliformes; Phasianidae
Source: RefSeq, a predicted model, not a curated record
AAGCAAGAGCAUGACCACCAAAAAGAGACUGGAAAGUCAAAUUUGGAAGAUGGGAGGCCGUGACAACUUGAACAAAGUCACAGGAACAGGACGAUCAAAAGCGAAUCAGUUUGAUUGAAAGAGACAAUAAGAAGCUCAUUGAGAACCUUGCUGCCAUCCAACGAGGGCCAGCAAGGGUGGAUUGUUGGAAUAAAUGCUUUUACAGAAGGU